AGAGAGAGACAUGCGCGCAUAUCAAUAAGCGGAGGAAAAGAAACUAACAAGGAUUCCCCUAGUAACGGCGAGUGAAGCGGGAAGAGCUCAAAUUUGAAAUCUUAAAGGGUUUCCCUUUACGAAUUGUAGUUUAAAGAAGUGUUUUCUGUUGAGGUUUUGGUAAAAGUUCUUUGGAAUAGGACAUCAUAGAGGGUGAGAAUCCCGUAUUUGACCAUUAUUUUCAACUUUGUGAUACACUUUCAAAGAGUCGGAUUGUUUGGGAAUGCAGUCCAAAAUGGGUGGUAAAUUUCAUCUAAAGCUAAAUAUUGGCGAGAGACCGAUAGCGAACAAGUACCGUGAGGGAAAGAUGAAAAGAACUUUGAAAAGAGAGUUAAACAGUACGUGAAAUUGUCAAAAGGGAAGCGUUUGACACCAGUGUUGUUUUUCUGAAAAUCAAUUAAAGAACUGUUUAUGCUAAGUUGUUUAGACUUUAUCAGCUAACUGUUUAGUUUUGAGCUUUUCUUUAAUGCACUUUUCAGUUAACAAGUCAACAUCAAUUUCUUUUGCUGUAAAAAAGCUUGAGGAAGGUGGCUUGAGAUUCGUCUUAAGUGUUUAUAGCCUCUUGCCUAUGCAGUCGGAGAGAUUGAGGUCUGCAGCGUAGAUCCUUCGGGGCUAAAUGCAUUUGUGCUAAGUUAUAGCAUUUUAUAGACAACUUGUUGACUAUGAUUUGUCUUGUAGCUUACUCGCUUAUGUUAUUUUACCUACGCUUAGGAUGUUGAUGUGAUACUGCGAGCA
This 774-nucleotide ribosomal RNA is filed under the name uncultured Neocallimastigales. RNAcentral describes it as "partial large subunit ribosomal RNA". It matches the Rfam family "Eukaryotic large subunit ribosomal RNA", at positions 23 to 646 of the family's 3401-position model. The record is from RNAcentral. Lineage: Eukaryota; Fungi; Neocallimastigomycota; Neocallimastigomycetes; Neocallimastigales.